GAUGAACGCUGGCGGUAUGCUUUACACAUGCAAGUCGUACGGGGGUUUUUAACUCAAGUGGCGGACGGGUGAGUAACACGUAGGAAUUUGCCUUUAGGAGGGGGACAACAACUGGAAACGGUUGCUAAUACCCCAUAUGCUUUCGAGUGAAAUGGAUUUAUCCGCCUAGAGAGAAGCUUGCGGCUGAUUAGCUUGUUGGUAAGGUAAUGGCUUACCAAGGCGACGAUCAGUAUCUGGUUUGAGAGGACGAUCAGACACACUGGAACUGAGACACGGUCCAGACUCCUACGGGAGGCAGCAGUGGGGAAUUUUCCGCAAUGGGCGAAAGCCUGACGGAGCAAUACCGCGUGAGGGAUGACGGCCUAUGGGUUGUAAACCUCUUUUUUCAGGGAGGAAUAAAUGACGUGUACCUGAAGAAUAAGCAUCGGCUAACUCCGUGCCAGCAGCCGCGGUAAGACGGAGGAUGCAAGUGUUAUCCGGAAUCACUGGGCGUAAAGCGUCUGUAGGUGGUUUAAUAAGUCAACUGUUAAAUCUUGAGGCUCAACCUCGAAACCGCAGUCGAAACUAUUAGACUAGAGUAUAGUAGGGGUAAAGGGAAUUUCCAGUGGAGCGGUGA
Molecule: ribosomal RNA, 616 nt
Filed under: uncultured diatom
Lineage: Eukaryota; Bacillariophyta
Description: bacterial SSU rRNA
Rfam family: Bacterial small subunit ribosomal RNA
Source: RNAcentral